This 2016-nucleotide long non-coding RNA is filed under the name Gallus gallus (chicken). Lineage: Eukaryota; Metazoa; Chordata; Aves; Galliformes; Phasianidae. The record is from RNAcentral.
CACGCGGCGGCGGGAGCGGUGGGUCCUCCGGGGCCGGCCCGGAGGGUAGCUGUGAGGGAAGCAGAGCCGCAGCCUCCGGAGGCGCAGCGCAGAAAUGGGCUCCUCGGCUCGGUGCCCCGCCGGCCGCCAAGCACAAAGAAACGGCAGCGCACUCCCGUCAGUGUAAAACCAUUUUUUUUCUUUUUUUUCUUUUUUUUUUUUAAUUCUAAAUCACUUUCACAACAGUGAAAAUUAGUGAACAGUAACGGUAAUAACGCACUGAACGAGCCGUCACCGGCUGUGUGCAGUCUGAAUACAAGGGGAGCGGUACGAUACAAACGCACACCGAGAGAAAGGUCUCUCUGAGAAGAAUGGAUGCACGGUACCUGGAGGAGGUCGCCCAUCAUUUAUGUUGAAUGCUGUGGCAAAUAUACCAAAGGGAAAUGCCCCAAUUCCGAAUGACAUUUGGAAGCCACCAUCUCCAAACCCGAAACCUUGGAAUCCCUGCAGAGAACAAAGCAACAGAAGAGAAAAAAAAAGGUAUAAAUAAUUUAAAGCCUAUUUCAGAAUAGUUUGCAAAAGUGCAGAUGCCCUCUUAUUGGCUUUCCUAAGGCUGAAGAAGUAUCAUGUAGCGUGGCAACUUUUAGUCUGCUACUGUUGUUAGAUACUUCCCAAGUUGUCAUGCUGAAAGCAUUUAUCAUAGCAGUAAACUUGCUAGAGCAACCCAAAAGUUUGAGAAAAUGACAAGUAGGAAUUGCACUUCUUGCCUGAAGGCUGCAAAUUAACAGAAGUGCUUAUAUAAAACUUUUCAACUUAAAACAGUGUGUAUAUGACAAUAUAUCAAAAUCAACGUUACCACUUCUAUUUAGAACAUUUACAAAUUGUAUCAAUAAUUCUGUAUUAACAGCUAUUAGCCACAUAGCUAUAAGAAAGAUACUGUAGAGAAUAACGUGCAUUUAUUUUUGGUACAUGUGCAUCAUCGAAAUAUUCAGUAAAGCGAUACACUGCCAAUGGGAUGGCACUGGUCAUUAUAAAGAGCAGUACCCAAACACAGAAAAAUCAUAUCAGAAUUCUAACUGAUGUGGCAUAUGAUGCACUCUACAGCUUCCUGAAGGGACGUUGCGAUGAGGAGGGGUUUGGCCUCUUCUCCCAGGCAACAAACAGGACCUGAGGAAAUGGCCACAAGUUGUACCAGAGGAGGUUUAGAUUAGACAUAAGGAAAAACUUUUCCUCUCAGAGAGUGGUCAGACACUGGAAUGGCUGCACAGGGAGGUGGUGGAGUCGCCAUCCCUGGCAGUGUUGAAAAGGCAUCUGGAUGAGGAGCUACAUAUGGUUUAGUGGCUUGUGGUAGCAAUGGUAAUGGGAGGACGGUUGGACCAGAUGAUCUUGUAGGUCCUUUCCAACCUUGUGAUUCUAUGAUUCUAUAUAAUCACCAAAGAAGAUCUAUAGUGCAAUAGCAUUGACCCCAAGGACUCCAGACUAAAAUUCCAUAUCAAAUCAGAGUGUGCUGAAGUAAGAUGAACCCUACUGUAUAAAAGCAGUGUACCAUUUGAGAAUCAACUAUAUAUAAAUCUAAGUAGUUGUGUCAUGUUUAAAAAGCAGACAGGUCACUGCUCUGUGUUCUAUAAUCCAGCAAACUGUUUUCUGAUCUCAGAGUUAAAACAGUGACCCACUCUGAAAAACCCCUCUGAUCUAUCAUCUCCAAACAACGGAGGACAAAUGUGAUUUCACUCACAUAAUAAAAGCCAAACAUUUCUGUGCUGAUACUUGAUUAUGACUCUUGUCAGAUGCUAUACUGUGAAGGACACUGUAAGGGGCUACCUGCAGGGGACAGCAAAGCACUUUGCAUGGCAAGGCCUACAUUUGCAGGAAACAGGAAGGCAGCAUUUCUACUGCUACAUCUUCAUUUGAGACUCCUCUGACUUCUUGCACCAGCUAAAAGCUUGAAUGCAAGGACAGCAGAUGAUUUAAUAAGAAAGCAGCUCCCUGGUGAGAGAGAACUACUAUGCUCCCAAUCUAUACAAUACAGAAAUGUUC